UGGGGAAUAUUGGACAAUGGGCGCAAGCCUGAUCCAGCCAUGCCGCGUGAGUGAUGAAGGCCCUAGGGUUGUAAAGCUCUUUCACCGGUGAAGAUAAUGACGGUAACCGGAGAAGAAGCCCCGGCUAACUUCGUGCCAGCAGCCGCGGUAAUACGAAGGGGGCUAGCGUUGUUCGGAAUUACUGGGCGUAAAGCGCACGUAGGCGGACAUUUAAGUCAGGGGUGAAAUCCCGGGGCUCAACCCCGGAACUGCCUUUGAUACUGGGUGUCUAGAGUUCGAGAGAGGUGAGUGGAAUUCCGAGUGUAGAGGUGAAAUUCGUAGAUAUUCGGAGGAACACCAGUGGCGAAGGCGGCUCACUGGCUCGAUACUGACGCUGAGGUGCGAAAGCGUGGGGAGCAAAACAGGAUUAGAUACCCCUGGUAGUCCACGCCGUAAACGUGGAAGCCAGCUGUCGGCAAGUUUACUUGUCGGUGGCGCAGCUAACGCAUUAAGCUUCCCGCCUGGGGAGUACGGUCGCAAGAUUAAAAGCUUAAA
RNAcentral lists this ribosomal RNA (534 nucleotides) under uncultured bacterium. RNAcentral's name for it is "partial 16S ribosomal RNA". It matches the Rfam family "Bacterial small subunit ribosomal RNA", at positions 355 to 905 of the family's 1533-position model. The record is from RNAcentral.